GGAUUAGAUACCCUGGUAGUCCACGCCGUAAACGAUGAGAACUAGCCGUUGGAUCUUAGAUUCAGUGGUACAGCUAACGCAUUAAGUUCUCCGCCUGGGGAGUACGGCCGCAAGGCUAAAACUCAAAUGAAUUGACGGGGGCCCGCACAAGCGGUGGAGCAUGUGGUUUAAUUCGAUGCAACGCGAAAAACCUUACCAACCCUUGACAUCUAGUGAAAUUUCUAGAGAUAGAUUUGUGCCUUCGGGAACACUAUGACAGGUGUUGCAUGGCUGUCGUCAGCUCGUGCCG
Molecule: ribosomal RNA, 289 nt
Filed under: uncultured bacterium
Lineage: Bacteria
Description: partial 16S ribosomal RNA
Rfam family: Bacterial small subunit ribosomal RNA
Source: RNAcentral